Molecule: ribosomal RNA, 379 nt
Filed under: Salmonella enterica
Lineage: Bacteria; Pseudomonadati; Pseudomonadota; Gammaproteobacteria; Enterobacterales; Enterobacteriaceae
Also listed under: 1 other name
Description: partial 23S ribosomal RNA
Rfam family: Bacterial large subunit ribosomal RNA
Source: RNAcentral
AGACCCGAAACCCGGUGAUCUAGCCAUGGGCAGGUUGAAGGUUGGGUAACACUAACUGGAGGACCGAACCGACUAAUGUUGAAAAAUUAGCGGAUGACCUGUGGCUGGGGGUGAAAGGCCAAUCAAACCGGGAGAUAGCUGGUUCUCCCCGAAAGCUAUUUAGGUAGCGCCUCGUGAAUUCAUCUCCGGGGGUAGAGCACUGUUUCGGCUAGGGGGCCAUCCCGGCUUACCAACCCGAUGCAAACUGCGAAUACCGGAGAAUGUUAUCACGGGAGACACACGGCGGGUGCUAACGUCCGUCGUGAAGAGGGAAACAACCCAGACCGCCAGCUAAGGUCCCAAAGUCAUGGUUAAGUGGGAAACGAUGUGGGAAGGCCCA